Molecule: ribosomal RNA, 253 nt
Filed under: uncultured bacterium
Lineage: Bacteria
Description: partial 16S ribosomal RNA
Rfam family: Bacterial small subunit ribosomal RNA
Source: RNAcentral
UACGUAGGGUGCAAGCGUUAAUCGGAAUUACUGGGCGUAAAGCGUGCGCAGGCGGUUAUGUAAGACAGGUGUGAAAUCCCCGGGCUUAACCUGGGAACUGCAUUUGUGACUGCAUAGCUAGAGUACGGUAGAGGGGGAUGGAAUUCCGCGUGUAGCAGUGAAAUGCGUAGAUAUGCGGAGGAACACCGAUGGCGAAGGCAAUCCCCUGGACCUGUACUGACGCUCAUGCACGAAAGCGUGGUGAGCAAACCGG